This 305-nucleotide ribosomal RNA is filed under the name uncultured bacterium. RNAcentral's name for it is "bacterial SSU rRNA". It matches the Rfam family "Bacterial small subunit ribosomal RNA", at positions 333 to 652 of the family's 1533-position model. The record is from RNAcentral.
GGCGGCCUACGGGAGGCAGCAGUGGGGAAUAUUGCACAAUGGGGGAAACCCUGAUGCAGCAACGCCGCGUGAAGGAAGAAGGCUUUCGGGUUGUAAACUUCUUUUCUCAGGGACGAAGAAAGUGACGGUACCUGAGGAAUAAGCCACGGCUAACUACGUGCCAGCAGCCGCGGUAAUACGUAGGUGGCAAGCGUUAUCCGGAUUUAUUGGGUGUAAAGGGCGUGUAGGCGGGAGCGCAAGUCAGAUGUGAAAACUCAGGGCUCAACCCUGAGCCUGCAUUUGAAACUGUGUUUCUUGAGGGCUGG